Lolium rigidum is the source of this 496-nucleotide long non-coding RNA. RefSeq lists it as uncharacterized. NCBI's taxonomy places the organism in Eukaryota, Viridiplantae, Streptophyta, Magnoliopsida, Poales, Poaceae. The record is from RefSeq and is a predicted model, not a curated record. The transcript has 4 exons.
CAAGCAGUAUGUUUCUUCAUAUAUACUUUUGAAGGCCUAUCUACCAAUUUUGCAUGGCUGCUCCGGUGGUCCCUAUCUAAUUCCCUCUGUUAACUUUUGUGUUUGCAGGGGCUGCCGGUUAGUUCGCCAAUCAUUUUUUCACAACAAUCCUUCAAUUUUUUUGGACUUGGGUGCAGGGAUUAGGCUGUAGAGGAUUUCACUCUACCAUUCGAGCCGCAAAGAGUGGGUUUUGUCUUAAUAUUGAUGUUUCCACGACAAUGAUUUUCAAGCCUGACCCUGUUGUUGAUUUUUUACUUGCCAAUCAGAAGGUUGAUCACCCGAAUGAAAUUUAUCGUGGGAAAGGUCAAGCGUGCAGUCAAGAAUUUAAGGAUAAAAACAAGCCCGGCAAACACAGAGCACACGACCAUUGGCUUGAGUCAUGAACAUAUUCUAAUCUGCUAUGUGCGUCUGGAUGCUUCUCAGGUGGCAAACUAAAUCAAGUUUGAUGAGAUGUCUG